RNAcentral lists this long non-coding RNA (1060 nucleotides) under Homo sapiens (human). RNAcentral's name for it is "non-protein coding lnc-BEND6-1:9". Lineage: Eukaryota; Metazoa; Chordata; Mammalia; Primates; Hominidae. The record is from RNAcentral.
ACUGGCUGCCCGGUCCCGGAUCCCCAAGGGCGACGUUUCUAUUUGGGAUCCACAACAGGUGCCUGAGAAACAAAGCCGCAGAUCGCUCCACCGCUGUGCGCAGCCCCCUGCUGAGGGGCCAGCGGCUCUCCCUGGGACCCCAGAACCUUAACACAAUUCUGAGGUGGAAGAAAUGGGGAACACCAGGCCUGGCCUCAUGGAGACCGGGGAGUCAGAACCUGAGCUCUGGCUCCUGGAGCUGCUGCGAGUGAGUGGUGGAAACCUGCCCCCUUAGAGAAGCUGCAGCUGAUCAGCAUCAUGCAAGGGACUGCUGAGAUGGUAGCAUGCUGGUAAUGAAGUGUUAUGGAGCCACUCCAUCCUUUAUUCAUCCUUUUCCUCAUACACACAGAGAGCAAAGCACAGGAACCAGCUACAGAAUUUGCAAGUGGAGAAUCCAGUGGGUGGGCCUUCUCCAAUCAGGCCUUAAGAGCAAAGACCAUGGUUUCUCAAAGAAAGAAUUUUCCUCAAGACUGCAACAUAGAGACCUUGCCUGAGUUUCCAGCCUGAUACCCUGAAGAAUUUGGACUCAAGACUGCAAUAUCAGCUCUUUCCUGAAUUUCUAGCCUGCUGGCCUGCCCUACAGAUUUUAGAUCUCCCAGCCCAAUUGCAUGAGCUAAUUCCUUAAAAUAAAUAAAUCUCUGUGUGUGUAUGUGUGCUGUAACUAAUAUAUCCUAUUGGUCUGUUUCUCUGGAGAACCCUAACUAACACAAUUGUCUACCAUAUUACUGCAUAAAAGACUUAUGACUCACCUUUACUACAUUUCAGGGAAGUAGAAACACCUGCCAUAAUUCACAUUUUACAGUUUUAUGGAAAGUAGGCAGGACUUUCACCAAGCUGAGUUAGGAAGCCAGAGUGCUUCACCCAGCCCCAUAAUUAACUACCCAUACUACUACACAAGAAAAUUACUUAACAUCUUUAACUUGCUCGUAUUCUAAACGUGAAUAAUCAUACCUACUUCACUAGAUAUUAGUAUUAAAAUGAAAUAAUGUAUGUAAAUCCUGUAAUAUGAUGCCUGCUCAGC